Molecule: long non-coding RNA, 579 nt
Filed under: Musa acuminata (dwarf banana)
Lineage: Eukaryota; Viridiplantae; Streptophyta; Magnoliopsida; Zingiberales; Musaceae
Description: long non-coding RNA (MACU_LNC005549)
Source: RNAcentral
AUUUGUGUUGCUUUCCUGGGCCUUCGGUGGCCAUUAAAGGAGCUAAGCCGAGGCGGACACGCAUCCAUACAUCUUUUCCAGAGAAAGGCCCGUCAUCGAGUGCCCUCUUUCCACAAUAUGGGCGUACAUACGUUCUAUCUUAAUUCAAACUCAAAUCCAUAAUAUUUUCUUACCUAAAUCUUAUAAUUAAUAGAUUUCUCUUACGUAACUCCAAAAUCUAAUUUAGAUUUCUCGUUUCUUGUAAUCUAACAGUUGGCCUUUAGCAUCGCCUCCUCUUCUUCCCAUCGAUGAUUGGUGCUGCGAAGAACAGGCAAACGGUAAAGACGACCGGAGUUCGAUGCUCGAAACGAACAAAAUAGGCGCCCGCAGUGCGGUCCGCCGCUGCACCCAUUAGCUCAAAAGCCACAGGCAGUAAUAAAGGCCAAGAAGAUAAAGCCACGUCGUACGACAACAACCCUUCUUCUUCUUCUUUCUUUGGAUCCUACAUGUGACAUAUAUACAUGUAUCUGUGGAGGAUGUGUUGUUCCUCGAGUUCUUAGCGUUGUUAUGACUCUUUGGAUCAAGCAAUGGGUAAUCGAG